GUAGGGAAUAUUGGACAAUGGGGGCAACCCUGAUCCAGCGACGCCGCGUGAGUGAUGAAGGCCUUCGGGUCGUAAAGCUCUGUUGCAGGGGAAGAACACAAUGACGGUACCCUGCUAGAAAGGAUCGGCUAACUUCGUGCCAGCAGCCGCGGUAAGACGAGGGAUCCUAGCGUUGUUCGGAAUUAUUGGGCGUAAAGCGGGUGCAGGUGGCUUGGUAAGUCAGAUGUGAAAGCCUGGGGCUUAACCCCAGAAGUGCAUUUGAUACUGCUGAGCUUGAGUGCUGGAGAGGCUAUUAGAAUUCCUGGUGUAGUGGUGAAAUACGUAGAUAUCAGGAGGAAUACCGGAGGCGAAGGCGGAUAGCUGGCCAGACACUGACACUCAGACCCGAAAGCGUGGGGAUCAAACAGGAUUAGAAACCCCAGUAGUCC
This 428-nucleotide ribosomal RNA is filed under the name uncultured bacterium. RNAcentral's name for it is "bacterial SSU rRNA". It matches the Rfam family "Bacterial small subunit ribosomal RNA", at positions 354 to 796 of the family's 1533-position model. The record is from RNAcentral.